Molecule: ribosomal RNA, 254 nt
Filed under: uncultured bacterium
Lineage: Bacteria
Description: partial 16S ribosomal RNA
Rfam family: Bacterial small subunit ribosomal RNA
Source: RNAcentral
UACAGAGGGUGCGAGCGUUGUUCGGAAUUACUGGGCGUAAAGCGCGCGCAGGCGGCCUUUUAAGUCUGACGGUGAAAUGCCGGGGCUCAACCCCGUGCCCGCCGGAGAUACUGGGAGGCUGGAGACGAGUAGAGGCAAGCGGAAUUCCGGGUGUAGCGGUGGAAUGCGUAGAGAUCCGGAAGAACGACCGGUGGCGAAGGCGGGUCUCUGGGCCGAAACUGACGCUGAGGAGCGAAAGCGUGGGAGCAAACAGG